Molecule: long non-coding RNA, 726 nt
Filed under: Dermacentor andersoni
Lineage: Eukaryota; Metazoa; Arthropoda; Arachnida; Ixodida; Ixodidae
Description: uncharacterized LOC126530420
Source: RNAcentral
GACCGCAGCGCUCCAAAAAAGGGGGGUUCCCCGUACACAUCCCACAUCUUGCGAGAUCGGAUAUCGUGUAUGGUCGCUCUCCCCGAAACUACGAGAAGGAUGCGGCUUCCCUCCUCCUCCUCGUCCACAGCGCGUGGACGCUGUGCGCAGCCGCCCUUCUCGGUGCUCGCUGAGUGACGGCCCUGUAAACUGAAGGGCCGGGCUUUCCCGGCAGUGGCGCUGUCCUUGAGACGGCGGUGCGCGAACGGACGCGAUACAGACACGUGUCCAGGUGCGCGGCUCAUAUAAAACAGCGCGCACCGUCCAUUCGACACCAUCGCAGGCCGCAGAUCCCAGCCUGAACACCAUCCCCUGAGCAACAGAAGCAGCCAUGAUUGCCAUCAGCAGCAAGUCCCUCCUUGUCGCCCUCGUGGUGCUGGCCGCCCUGUGUAGCCUGGCAGCCGCGCAGUUCGGCUACGGUGGUUACGGCCGCGGCUAUGGCGGUUACGGCCGCGGAUACGGCGGCUACGGUGGUGGCUACGGUCGUGGAUUUGGCGGCGGCUACGGCGGCUACGGUCGGGGCUACGGUGGCUACGGCCGUGGUUUCUACGGCUAAGCUGAACCUCCCCAAACGACAACCGCCUGCUGCAGUACGAAGAAUCACGCCGGCCUGCAAGAUGCCAACAAAUGUCGAUUUAGUUGCCCGAUCAUACGUCCUUCAUCUAAUAAAUUAAUUCGCGAUCACAA